UGGAUCAAACCUCCCAAAACGUCAACACAAGCUCCAAGCUUCAAUGCGUUGAUCGGACACGUUGGUUGAGCACUUCCUCCUCCAGAAGGUGGACCACCAUGAUACGGUGGAUAACCAGAGGAUGGUGGUGGAGUUGUGAUCGGAGGUGGGUUAAUGAUCGGAGGGAGAAGUCCUGGAGGUGUUGUGAUUGGAGGGAGAAUUCCUGGAGGAGUUGUGACCGGAGGUGGGUUAAUGAUCGGAGGGAGAAUUCCUGGAGGAGUUGUGACCGGAGGAGGUCUUACCAUUGGUGGUGGAUAGACGACUGGAGGAGGUCUUGAGAUAGGCGGUGGCCUCACCACUGGUGGUGGAUAAACCACCGGAGGAGGUCUAACAAACGGCGGUGAUGUCCCUCCACCAUGAUGUGGUGGCCCACCACCACCACCACCAUGAUGCGGCGGCCCACCACCUUUUCCACCGUGAUGUGGCGGUUUACUACCACCUUUUCCUCCGUGAU
RNAcentral lists this long non-coding RNA (493 nucleotides) under Brassica napus (rape). Its description in RNAcentral is "long non-coding RNA (BNAP_LNC007524)". Lineage: Eukaryota; Viridiplantae; Streptophyta; Magnoliopsida; Brassicales; Brassicaceae. The record is from RNAcentral.